UGUUUCUCUCUCUCUGACCCUCCAUGUCUUCCCAUCUUCUCAUGAAAGCUUUUCUUCUCAUUAUCUUCUAUAGCUUUCUCCCAUGGUUUAACCUGACUCACUGAUGACAAGAGCAGCAUGAAACUGUUGACCGGAGCAGCCACAACAACAAAUUUGUAGAACUCAAGAUCCGACUCAAGAUCUCACACGCCGGACCACCUCUCUCGCUGGAUCAGUCCUCUCGCCGCCACGCAAGAUCUCUCUCUCUCCCGUGCCUCUCUCUCUCUCUGUCUCUCUCGCCGGACCUCUCUCUCGCUGGACCUCUCUCUCUCGCCGUCAUUUCCGUAAUUAGGUAGUUCUUGGAUAUGAACAUGGUGUUCUUCGGAACACUAAUCCAAGAUAUGUACGCCAAAGAGAGUUUGCGUUGAAGAAUUUGCCUGAUGACCCUCUUUUCCAGCUGAUAUUUUUGUUUUUCUUUCUUUCUUUUGCUUUCUUAUAUAAACUCUUGCAUUGUGGGCAGUGGCUAACAGAACCUUCAUCUCUAUAGGUUUCAAAGCUUUAUGAAGUUGUGCCUCCUGUUCUCACCAAACUCAGAAAGGCACUACACGGUUCUCUUUUGGUGUCUAAAUGAGUCUUGCUAUCUGCUCUCAGAUAAUAUGGGACAGAGCUCUUGGACUUGGACUUGAGAGGCCAAAGAGUGUUACAAUGGAUUGGCUUGAAGCCUACUGUAAGAAAGC
This is a long non-coding RNA of Brassica oleracea var. oleracea, 716 nucleotides long. RefSeq lists it as uncharacterized. The transcript is spliced from 4 exons. Lineage: Eukaryota; Viridiplantae; Streptophyta; Magnoliopsida; Brassicales; Brassicaceae. The record is from RefSeq and is a predicted model, not a curated record.